Molecule: RNA transcript, 2667 nt
Organism: Juglans microcarpa x Juglans regia
Lineage: Eukaryota; Viridiplantae; Streptophyta; Magnoliopsida; Fagales; Juglandaceae
Gene name: probable methyltransferase PMT5
Exons: 10
Source: RefSeq, a predicted model, not a curated record
AAAAAGAACACGUCCCAAGAAUUCGAAUCCGAUAAAUUUGGACUCAUCCCUGUAGUAAUUUCCAAUCUCUCUCUCUCUCUCUCUCUCUCUGGAAUUGGCUCUGAAUCUGUGUCUUGAUUCUUCAACGACCGGAAAGGGUUGAUCUAGUAGAUUGAGAGGAUUGGUCUGUCAGAAUUGGCAUUACUCAGUCGUGAUCAGUUGGUUUAUAGCCUGGAAUCGGGCAUUAUUUGGAAGAAUACUUCUAGAUUUUUCUCUUUUUUGUGUUUUUUUAAUUGGAUAGUUGAUCCAUUGGUGGACAUUGAAACUUGGGGAUCUGAAUUUUGUAUCUCACAUUUGUUUAUGGUUGAUAUCUAUUAGUUUUCACUGUAUCUUACCAGAAUUACGUGCGUCCGAUGGUAAAAUCAAGUGGGAAGAGAUAUAGCUGCCUUAUUUAUGACAUGUGAAGGGUUGUUGUUUCAAUGUCUGUGGCAAUAGUUCAGAUUCAUGAUAAUAUGUAUAGAAGCUCGUAUGUUAUGAUAGGUGGUUUUUCCCGUUCUUUGAUAUAUGGAUUCGAGGAGUUAUUUAUUUAGUGGGUUUUCUUAACUUGAUUCUUGGAUUGGGUUGCACAAUUUGGACAUGAGAAGCUUUUGGUUCAAUAAACUCUCUGUCAUUUUUGGCCCUAGACCACCGGUCAGCUGGUUACUCUUGUGCCUUGUUAGCUUGCUCGCACUAAUUGCAGUUUUAGGAUCAUCUUCUUCUAAUGCCUUCGACUCUGUAACUCCUACACCCGUACCGGACAUUUAUUUAAACUAUAGAAGGCUAAAAGAGCAAGCAGCGGUUGAUUAUUUGGAGUUGAGGUCUCUCUCACUUGGAGCUAGUAGGCAAAGAGAGCUUGGCCUUUGUGGCAAAGAAAGAGAGAAUUACGUGCCUUGCUACAACGUUUCAGCAAAUUUGUUAGCUGGGUUUAAAGACGGGGAGGAGUUUGAUCGGCAUUGUGAAGUUCUGAGAGAUCGAAACCGGUGUUUGGUUCGCUCUCCCAAGGACUAUAAGAGCCCCCUGAGGUGGCCUGCUGGUAGGGAUGUGAUAUGGAGUGGAAAUGUGAAGAUAACCAAAGACCAAUUUCUUUCAUCUGGAAGCAUGACCAAAAGGUUGAUGUUACUUGAAGAAAAUCAAAUUGCCUUUCACUCUGAGGAUGGAUUGAUCUUUGAUGGUGUUAAAGAUUAUUCUCGCCAAAUUGCUGAGAUGAUAGGGUUAGGAAGUGACUCUGAUUUUCUUCAAGCUGGUGUGCGUACUGUACUCGAUAUUGGUUGUGGAUUUGGUAGCUUUGGAGCUCAUUUAGUCUCACUGAAGUUAAUGGCUGUUUGUAUUGCGGCUUACGAGGCAACUGGCAGUCAGGUCCAAUUGGCACUUGAGAGAGGUCUUCCAGCAAUAAUUGGAAGCUUCAUUUCAAGACAGCUUCCAUAUCCGUCCUUGUCAUUUGACAUGGUUCAUUGUGCUCAGUGUGGUAUUGUUUGGGACAAAAAAGAUGGGAUUUUACUCAUUGAAGUUGACCGGGUGCUCAAGCCUGGAGGUUACUUCGUGUUAACCUCACCUUCAGGCAAGCUACAUGGAACAGCAGUGGGUAAAAGGAAGAGAAAUGUGUUAACUCCAAUGGAAGAAAUGACCCAAGAAAUCUGUUGGAGUCUUCUAGCGCAGCAAGAUGAAACUUUCAUCUGGCAGAAAACUGUGGAUUCUGAUUGUUAUGCCUCUCGCAAGCAGAGUGCUAUACCACUUUGUAAAGAAGGGCAUGAUGUUCAGUCAUAUUAUCAGCCCCUUGUAUCGUGUAUAAGUGGGACCUCUAGCAAACGCUGGAUUCCAAUCCAGAAUAGAUCUGCUGGUUCGCAAUUGAGUGCAAGUGAGCUUGAAGUUCAUGGAGUUCUGCCCGAUAAUUUCUUUGAAGACUUACGGGUUUGGAGAUCAGCUCUGAAAAACUACUGGUCUCUGCUUACGCCCUUAAUUUUCUCAGACCAUCCAAAGAGGCCAGGCAAUGAGGACCCAUUGCCCCCAUUUAACAUGAUACGCAAUGUGAUGGACAUGAAUGCCCAUUAUGGGGGUUUAAAUGCUGCAUUUUUGGAGGAAAAAAAAUCGGUAUGGGUGAUGAAUGUUGUACCGAUUAGAGCUCGUAAUACACUUCCUCUUAUACUUGAUCAAGGCUUUACUGGGAUUUUGCAUGACUGGUGUGAACCUUUCCCAACAUACCCCAGGACAUAUGACAUGCUUCAUGCAAAUGGGCUCCUUUCACAUCUCAGUUCAGAGAGCUGCAGUGCAAUAGACUUGUUCUUGGAGAUGGACCGGAUGUUGCGACCUGAGGGAUGGGUUGUUCUUUCUGAUAACGUAGGAGCUAUAGAGAUGGCACGCAUGCUUGCUACACAAAUACGGUGGGAAGCAAGGGUGAUUGACCUUCAGAACGGCAGUGACCAACGGCUGCUUGUUUGCCAGAAACAAUUCAUCAAGAAAUGAUAGAUUCAGCAUCUAGAGGUCUCACCUCUGUAAACGUGUACACAUCUUUGCUCUGGGCUAUGAAAUGUUUUGAUAGCAAAUAUAUGUAAGAUGUGCUCCGAGACUGAUGGAUUCGACCUUGUCCACCACCGAUCAAGAUGUGGAGGCUGUACAUUAAAGACGUUUGCCACACAAAGUAGCUGCAAAUCA